Molecule: long non-coding RNA, 1712 nt
Filed under: Gossypium barbadense (sea-island cotton)
Lineage: Eukaryota; Viridiplantae; Streptophyta; Magnoliopsida; Malvales; Malvaceae
Description: long non-coding RNA (GBAR_LNC014563)
Source: RNAcentral
GAAGAAAUAGCUGCCGAUUUGCUUUCGGGUCUAGAUGGUCAGAAAGUUGCUGGACCAGUAACUAAAUCUCACUUAAACAUGCGAUAUCCUAGCAAAGAUUUUAGAUUGAGAACAUCAUGGAACCGAAAAACCCCGUUGCAUUUCGAGGAUUCAGCUUUUAACAAGCUAAUUGAUUCUCUUGAUUCAUCAAAAUUAGGACUAGAAGAUUACGAAUUUCUUUCGGAGUUUGAGGUAUGUCCGCAACCUGAACAUUCCUCGACCUCAAAUGAAGGUUCCUCUGAUUGCGUUGUUGAAGAUUCUCAAGAGUCGAAUGGCAUUCAUGAUGACAUUGAGUUUCAAAGUACACCUACAUCCUUUCAGAGGGACAUUUCCGCUCUAUCCCACCAACAAGCAGAUAUAACUGCGAAAGUAGAUCUUAAAGAGAAUGCCAUGCCAACAAGUGAUGGAGAUCAUGUGUCCGAGGCGAUGAACAUCGAGCCACGGAAACUUCAUAAGCGUGUACUUGUUGGCGGAGCGAUGAAACACAACUGUAAAAGUACCGAAGGCAUGUAAGGCUUUGACAAAGGUUGGACUUGCGACGGCAUUGUGAAUGUUGUUUAUUAAUACACCAUAGUUUUAUGAUGUAGAUUGAAGUAAAAUGAAAGGAAGAAGAAUUAUAAAGCUAAAAAAGGAAGAGGAAAUUACUAAGUACAACAUAUAUGUUCCUUUGGGUAUAGAUUAAAUUUAAUUUGAGAAAAUUUUUAAUAGUAUUCGAAAAAAAAUAAGAUCUAUCGUGAUUAGGAGUUACUCAAAUUAAGUUUCAAAAUAUUAGAUUUAAUUUGAUAUUUUGAAUUUUAAUUCAAACUUGAUUUGAUAAUAUCAAGGGUAAUUUUAAAUUUUUUAAUUAAAAUACAUCAUUAUUUUAUGAUUAAAUUCCAUAAAAAUAUAAAAUACAUUUUAUUUUAACUGUUUAUUUAUUUAUAAGUUAAAGAUUAGUUAUAUAGAAAAAAUAAAGAUUAAGGUUAUUGUUUGAAAGACAUGUUGUAAAAGUUGUUAAUUCCAAAUGCAGGGUUAAAAGAGUAUCGUAUGCUUCAUUUAUGUAUUUUUAUUUUUUAAAAUAUUAAUAAAUGACAUUUGUCAAUCUCAUGAUUUCGUUUAUGGAAUUAAUUUUUUUUAUUACAAGCGCAUCAAAUAAUUGGAUCAAUUCAAAUAAUUUUAAAAGGUAUUGAUAAAAAAAAUUUAAAAGUUAAGAUAAAUGAGAUUUAAAGAUUUUAUUCAAACUAGUAAUUGAAUCACACGAUUGUUGAGUAGUAAAUCUUGGUAUUAAGUAUGAGGGGAUUUAAUUAAAAAAAUUUUAAACUUUUGAAAGGCUUAAUGAGAAUUUUUUUAAAAAAAAUUUUAAGGUGGCCUAAUUCUUUGGGAGAACAAUUCAGUCCUACAUAAGCAUAUGAAAAUAAGAUAUAAUAAUGUGUGUGGACUAAGUAUUUAAAACAAUUUGUGCGUACCUGUAAAAAUAACAUACAAUAUUAACAACGAAAUCAGAGGUUAAAGAGACGGCGCCGAUUAGCUGUCCGCCUUGACUGACCGUCUGGCAUCGUCUUGGCCCUCGAUUUUGCCCUUUUGCAAACCUCAUUUUACCAAUUCCCCGAAAUGGCAGUGAAACCCUCCAACUCCAAGGCCGACAAGUAAAUCCCGUAGGACGCGAAACUAUGUCAACUCUUAGAUGAGUACAC